GCUGAUGUGGCUCAGUUGGUAGAGCAGCGCACUCGUAAUGCGCAGGUCGCCGGUUCGAAUCCGGCCAUCAGCUCCA
This 76-nucleotide transfer RNA is filed under the name Bacillota bacterium. RNAcentral's name for it is "tRNA-Thr". It matches the Rfam family "tRNA". Rfam says of the family: Transfer RNA (tRNA) molecules are approximately 80 nucleotides in length. Their secondary structure includes four short double-helical elements and three loops (D, anti-codon, and T loops). Lineage: Bacteria; Bacillati; Bacillota. RNAcentral also lists the same sequence under 4 other names. The record is from RNAcentral.